GGGAAAUCUAAAAAGUGAGGCUCUGGUGAGGUCAAAGGGGCACUGCACAUCGCCAAAAUAAACGCAUUAAUGGAUGCUGUGAUCCACAAAUUCCCUGGCACCACCAGGGGCUAACUGGGGACUGCAUUAAAUCAAAAACUGACUGAGCUGCGGCAUCAAAGAGAAAAAUUGACCAUCGGUGGAUAAAAAAAAAUUAUUAUUGUUUCAAGUUCUGUUAAAAAAAAACAGCUUUGCCUCCACCGCUACACUUUGAGGAUCUAUUUCUGUUUUAAAAAAGACUGAGAAAAAGCAUCUUCCCUUUUUUGUCUGUUUUUUAUCUUUACCACCACUAAUAGCAACUGGACAUUUAAUAUGCCUCCAUUAAUACCAAAAUUGUGAAUGUUUAACUUUGUCAUCCAGUAGAGGAUUUGUUUCAACAGUGCUGUGGUUUCAUAUCUGCAUAAAACUCAGUAAAGUAUUUUUCUCUUUUAAAUAAAGUGUUUAAAUAAGAA
Molecule: long non-coding RNA, 491 nt
Organism: Astyanax mexicanus (Mexican tetra)
Lineage: Eukaryota; Metazoa; Chordata; Actinopteri; Characiformes; Acestrorhamphidae
Exons: 2
Source: RefSeq, a predicted model, not a curated record